UGGGGGAUAUUGCACAAUGGGCGCAAGCCUGAUGCAGCGACGCCGCGUGGGGGAUGAAGGCCUUCGGGUUGUAAACUUCUUUUGCUCUGAACAAGGCGCACUUUGGGGUGUGUUGAGUGUAGGGGUUGAUUAGCGCCGGCUAACUACGUGCCAGCAGCCGCGGUAAUACGUAGGGCGCGAGCGUUGUCCGGAAUUAUUGGGCGUAAAGGGCUUGUAGGUGGCUGGUUGCGUCUGUCGUGAAAGCUCAUGGCUUAACUGUGGGUGUGCGGUGGGUACGGGCUGGCUUGAGUGCAGUAGGGGAGGCUGGAAUUCCUGGUGUAGCGGUGGAAUGCGCAGAUAUCAGGAGGAAUACCGGUGGCGAAGGCGGGUCUCUGGGCUGUUACUGACACUGAGGAGCGAGAGCAUGGGGAGCGAACAGG
This 419-nucleotide ribosomal RNA is filed under the name bacterium. RNAcentral's name for it is "partial 16S ribosomal RNA". It matches the Rfam family "Bacterial small subunit ribosomal RNA", at positions 355 to 776 of the family's 1533-position model. The record is from RNAcentral.